This 2906-nucleotide ribosomal RNA is filed under the name Escherichia coli HVH 154 (4-5636698). Its description in RNAcentral is "bacterial LSU rRNA". It matches the Rfam family "Bacterial large subunit ribosomal RNA". Lineage: Bacteria; Pseudomonadati; Pseudomonadota; Gammaproteobacteria; Enterobacterales; Enterobacteriaceae. The record is from RNAcentral.
UUAAGCGACUAAGCGUACACGGUGGAUGCCCUGGCAGUCAGAGGCGAUGAAGGACGUGCUAAUCUGCGAUAAGCGUCGGUAAGGUGAUAUGAACCGUUAUAACCGGCGAUUUCCGAAUGGGGAAACCCAGUGUGUUUCGACACACUAUCAUUAACUGAAUCCAUAGGUUAAUGAGGCGAACCGGGGGAACUGAAACAUCUAAGUACCCCGAGGAAAAGAAAUCAACCGAGAUUCCCCCAGUAGCGGCGAGCGAACGGGGAGCAGCCCAGAGCCUGAAUCAGUGUGUGUGUUAGUGGAAGCGUCUGGAAAGGCGCGCGAUACAGGGUGACAGCCCCGUACACAAAAAUGCACAUGCUGUGAGCUCGAUGAGUAGGGCGGGACACGUGGUAUCCUGUCUGAAUAUGGGGGGACCAUCCUCCAAGGCUAAAUACUCCUGACUGACCGAUAGUGAACCAGUACCGUGAGGGAAAGGCGAAAAGAACCCCGGCGAGGGGAGUGAAAAAGAACCUGAAACCGUGUACGUACAAGCAGUGGGAGCACAGAGCAAUCUGUGUGACUGCGUACCUUUUGUAUAAUGGGUCAGCGACUUAUAUUCUGUAGCAAGGUUAACCGAAUAGGGGAGCCGAAGGGAAACCGAGUCUUAACUGGGCGUUAAGUUGCAGGGUAUAGACCCGAAACCCGGUGAUCUAGCCAUGGGCAGGUUGAAGGUUGGGUAACACUAACUGGAGGACCGAACCGACUAAUGUUGAAAAAUUAGCGGAUGACUUGUGGCUGGGGGUGAAAGGCCAAUCAAACCGGGAGAUAGCUGGUUCUCCCCGAAAGCUAUUUAGGUAGCGCCUCGUGAAUUCAUCUCCGGGGGUAGAGCACUGUUUCGGCAAGGGGGUCAUCCCGACUUACCAACCCGAUGCAAACUGCGAAUACCGGAGAAUGUUAUCACGGGAGACACACGGCGGGUGCUAACGUCCGUCGUGAAGAGGGAAACAACCCAGACCGCCAGCUAAGGUCCCAAAGUCAUGGUUAAGUGGGAAACGAUGUGGGAAGGCCCAGACAGCCAGGAUGUUGGCUUAGAAGCAGCCAUCAUUUAAAGAAAGCGUAAUAGCUCACUGGUCGAGUCGGCCUGCGCGGAAGAUGUAACGGGGCUAAACCAUGCACCGAAGCUGCGGCAGCGACGCUUAUGCGUUGUUGGGUAGGGGAGCGUUCUGUAAGCCUGUGAAGGUGUGCUGUGAGGCAUGCUGGAGGUAUCAGAAGUGCGAAUGCUGACAUAAGUAACGAUAAAGCGGGUGAAAAGCCCGCUCGCCGGAAGACCAAGGGUUCCUGUCCAACGUUAAUCGGGGCAGGGUGAGUCGACCCCUAAGGCGAGGCCGAAAGGCGUAGUCGAUGGGAAACAGGUUAAUAUUCCUGUACUUGGUGUUACUGCGAAGGGGGGACGGAGAAGGCUAUGUUGGCCGGGCGACGGUUGUCCCGGUUUAAGCGUGUAGGCUGGUUUUCCAGGCAAAUCCGGAAAAUCAAGGCUGAGGCGUGAUGACGAGGCACUACGGUGCUGAAGCAACAAAUGCCCUGCUUCCAGGAAAAGCCUCUAAGCAUCAGGUAACAUCAAAUCGUACCCCAAACCGACACAGGUGGUCAGGUAGAGAAUACCAAGGCGCUUGAGAGAACUCGGGUGAAGGAACUAGGCAAAAUGGUGCCGUAACUUCGGGAGAAGGCACGCUGAUAUGUAGGUGAAGCGACUUGCUCGUGGAGCUGAAAUCAGUCGAAGAUACCAGCUGGCUGCAACUGUUUAUUAAAAACACAGCACUGUGCAAACACGAAAGUGGACGUAUACGGUGUGACGCCUGCCCGGUGCCGGAAGGUUAAUUGAUGGGGUUAGCGGUAACGCGAAGCUCUUGAUCGAAGCCCCGGUAAACGGCGGCCGUAACUAUAACGGUCCUAAGGUAGCGAAAUUCCUUGUCGGGUAAGUUCCGACCUGCACGAAUGGCGUAAUGAUGGCCAGGCUGUCUCCACCCGAGACUCAGUGAAAUUGAACUCGCUGUGAAGAUGCAGUGUACCCGCGGCAAGACGGAAAGACCCCGUGAACCUUUACUAUAGCUUGACACUGAACAUUGAGCCUUGAUGUGUAGGAUAGGUGGGAGGCUUUGAAGUGUGGACGCCAGUCUGCAUGGAGCCGACCUUGAAAUACCACCCUUUAAUGUUUGAUGUUCUAACGUGGGCCCCUUACCGGGGUUGCGGACAGUGUCUGGUGGGUAGUUUGACUGGGGCGGUCUCCUCCUAAAGAGUAACGGAGGAGCACGAAGGUUGGCUAAUCCUGGUCGGACAUCAGGAGGUUAGUGCAAUGGCAUAAGCCAGCUUGACUGCGAGCGUGACGGCGCGAGCAGGUGCGAAAGCAGGUCAUAGUGAUCCGGUGGUUCUGAAUGGAAGGGCCAUCGCUCAACGGAUAAAAGGUACUCCGGGGAUAACAGGCUGAUACCGCCCAAGAGUUCAUAUCGACGGCGGUGUUUGGCACCUCGAUGUCGGCUCAUCACAUCCUGGGGCUGAAGUAGGUCCCAAGGGUAUGGCUGUUCGCCAUUUAAAGUGGUACGCGAGCUGGGUUUAGAACGUCGUGAGACAGUUCGGUCCCUAUCUGCCGUGGGCGCUGGAGAACUGAGGGGGGCUGCUCCUAGUACGAGAGGACCGGAGUGGACGCAUCACUGGUGUUCGGGUUGUCAUGCCAAUGGCACUGCCCGGUAGCUAAAUGCGGAAGAGAUAAGUGCUGAAAGCAUCUAAGCACGAAACUUGCCCCGAGAUGAGUUCUCCCUGACUCCUUGAGAGUCCUGAAGGAACGUUGAAGACGACGACGUUGAUAGGCCGGGUGUGUAAGCGCAGCGAUGCGUUGAGCUAACCGGUACUAAUGAACCGUGAGGCUUAACCUU